UCCGCUGCCGCGCCGCCCCGCGCCCGGCCGCGCUUGGCUCGGGGGAGCGAUGCCGCCGCUCCCCUUGUGCUGGAGCUUCUAUCCGGCGAGGCUGGGGGAUCCCGGCUCUGCCCCCGCUCCCUGUGCCCUGAGCGUUCCUGCUUUCCCCUCCAGCCGCAGGGCUGCCUGGAAAUGCCUGGGUUAAAGCAGAAGGAAACCCAGGCGUACGAAGAGAUCCGUAUCUCAGCCUGCUUCCCUACAAAUACAGCAUCUGCCUUUCAUCUUGUUUGUCUACUCUUUCCCCCCAACAAAACACCCUGAAGAAAUGUUUCUAAAUAAACAUCAAUCAGCAAUCCUGUCAAUCUUCAGAAGUAAUCUGGAGAACUAGGGCUUUCUCACUUUCUUCCUGAAGCUCUACCAUUUUAUUUUAGCUCUAGCAAGGCUGUCAAUUAUUUUGUCUGUAUUAAAAUUGAUCUGAAUUCCUG
Molecule: long non-coding RNA, 464 nt
Organism: Lonchura striata (white-rumped munia)
Lineage: Eukaryota; Metazoa; Chordata; Aves; Passeriformes; Estrildidae
Source: RefSeq, a predicted model, not a curated record